Molecule: ribosomal RNA, 292 nt
Filed under: uncultured bacterium
Lineage: Bacteria
Description: partial 16S ribosomal RNA
Source: RNAcentral
GGACUACUCGGGUAUCUAAUCCUGUUUGCUCCCCACGCUUUCGCGUCUCAGCGUCAGUCACCGUCCAGAGGGCCGCCUUCGCCACCGGUGUUCCUCCUGAUAUCUACGCAUUUCACCGCUACACCAGGAAUUCCACCCUCCUCUCCGGGACUCGAGUUCGCCAGUUUCCAAUGCCCUUCCGGGGGUGAGCCCCGGGCUUUCACAUCAGACUUAGCGGACCGCCUACACGCGCUUUACGCCCAGUGAUUCCGAACAACGCUUGCACCCUCCGUAUUACCGCGGCUGCUGGCAC